GCAUCUGACCAGAGUGACAAAAAAAAAAGGACACCGCCAUCUUCUACAGUCACAAUUCACAAAAUCGUCUGUCAACAGGAAAGGAUGAGCUCAUGAAGUUCUCUAGCUAACGAAGUUUUCUUCAUGAACGGUGUUGAGAAAAAUGCAUUAUAUAGAAGACGAUGGCUACAUGUCUACAUGAAGAACACAACUUAGGUCAAUCUUCAAAGAAAUUCGCAUAGUAAUAAGAAUGUUAUUUUGAGCAUUGUGUAGGGGAGUAUAUGAUUGUUAUCAUGUGUUGGCACAUAUUUUCUUUUUUAUUACAGUAUUAAAUAUCAGUAAUUAUCGUUAAAACAUUCAGCAUGAUAGUGACUAAACUUUAGCAAAAUAUAGGCUUAAUUAGGUUUAUUAAACUCAUCUCGUCUUUUAGUUUUCAUUUGUAUAAUUAAUUUUAUAAUUAGACUAUAUUCAAUAUUCGUAAUUAUCGUUAAAACAUUCAGUGACAGAAACUAAACUUUAGUUGAGCUGGGUGGAACAAAACAAGCUGUAACUAGACUUAUUCAGUGUCCACUGACCCUUUGUAGAACUGCUACAUGACCACAUCUGCAAGGAAUCCUUCAGCAAUUGCAUUAAAAAAACAUUGCUUUAACUGGACACUAAAAUGUCACGAACAGCAAGUAGCUACAGGGCAAAACUUAUUAGCUUUGUUUACACGAUGAAAAACUUAGGCAGGGCCCCCACUUUGAGACCCAGUGGCUGGCUGGCUGCUAUAGUAUUGUAUCUGAUUUUUCUCGUUCACCAUCCACGCAUUUUCAACAUGGUCUGGGAAAAACAAGCUUUUUCACAGAGUACUGAAACCGGCAAAUCC
RNAcentral lists this long non-coding RNA (847 nucleotides) under Zea mays. RNAcentral's name for it is "long non-coding RNA NONZMAT001078". The record is from RNAcentral. Lineage: Eukaryota; Viridiplantae; Streptophyta; Magnoliopsida; Poales; Poaceae.